Molecule: non-coding RNA, 838 nt
Filed under: Amolops marmoratus (marbled sucker frog)
Lineage: Eukaryota; Metazoa; Chordata; Amphibia; Anura; Ranidae
Description: partial 12S ribosomal RNA
Rfam family: Bacterial small subunit ribosomal RNA
Source: RNAcentral
GCCUUAUUAUCAUCUUUUUCUCGACUUACACAUGCAAGUCUCAGCACACCAGUGAGAAAGCCCUUUUUACCUUCACCAGACAAAGGAGCCGGUAUUAGGCACAACCCAAAUUGCCCAAAACACCUAGUUUCACCACACCCCCAAGGGUAGUCAGCAGUGAUAAAUCUUGUUCAUAAGCGAAAGCUUGACCCAGUUAGAGAGAAGAGAGUUGGCCAACUUGGUGCCAGCCGCCGCGGCUAAACCAAGGACUCAAGUUGAUAAUGAUCGGCGUCAAGCGUGAUUAAAGAUUACAGAAAUUAAGGUUAAAUUAAUGCUUAGCAGUGAAAAGCUUGCUAUUAAGAAAAACAUACACGAAAGUUACCCUAAUUAAAUACUUGAAUACACGACAGUUGAGAAACAAACCAGGAUUAGAUACCCUAUUAUGCUCAAUCGUAAACAAUUAACUUACACCAAUCAACGCCCGGGAACUACGAGCUAUGCUUAAAACCCAAAGGACUUGGCGGUGCCCCAACCAACUAGAGGAGCCCGUUCUAUAAUCGAUAAUCCCCGCUACACCCAACCAUUUCUUGCUAGUCAGCCUGUAUACCUCCGUCGAAAGUCAACCAUGUGAACGUUACAGUAGGCCUAAUGAUACUCCAUCAAUACGUCAGGUCAAGGUGCAGCUUAUGAAAUGGAAGAAAUUGGCUACAAUCUCUAAUAUAGAACAAACGAAAAACCGUAUGAAACAACGGUCAUGAAGGUGGAUUUAGUAGUAAGAAGAAAGUAGCGAGUUCUUCUUAACCGAGCCCUGGAGCACGUACAUACCGCCCGUCACCCUCUUCGAUAGCCACUAAACGUA